CGAACAGCUCAGUAACUCUUAUUUUAUUUGAUGUAUUAGGACUAUAACUAUGUUAAAUUAUAGAUAACAAUAAUACAAUAAGAAUAAGAUCUAUCAGUUAGUUGUUAAGGUAAUGGCUUAACAAGACUAUGACGGAUAACGGUAUUACUUUGUAAUAUUCCGGAGAAGGAGCCUGAGAGAUUGCUACUAAGUCUAAGGAUUGCAGCAGGGGCGAAACUUGACCUAUGAUAUGAUAUUGAGGCAGUUAUGAGUAGUAUUUUAUAAUUAUUGUAGUAUUGUAAGUAUAUGCUACAAGAUAAAUCGGAGGGCAAAUCGAGUG
RNAcentral lists this ribosomal RNA (319 nucleotides) under Nosema granulosis. RNAcentral describes it as "SSU rRNA". It matches the Rfam family "Microsporidia small subunit ribosomal RNA", at positions 80 to 392 of the family's 1311-position model. The record is from RNAcentral. Lineage: Eukaryota; Fungi; Microsporidia; Nosematidae.